RNAcentral lists this ribosomal RNA (250 nucleotides) under uncultured bacterium. Its description in RNAcentral is "partial 16S ribosomal RNA". It matches the Rfam family "Bacterial small subunit ribosomal RNA", at positions 524 to 773 of the family's 1533-position model. The record is from RNAcentral.
UACGGAGGGUGCAAACGUUGUUCGGAAUCACUGGGCAUAAAGAGCACGUAGGCGGCCUGCUAAGUCAGGUGUGAAAUCCCCCGGCUCAACCGGGGAAUAGCAUUUGAUACUGGCGGGCUCGAGGACGGUAGGGGUGAGUGGAACUCCAGGUGGAGCGGUGAAAUGCGUAGAUAUCUGGAGGAACACCAGUGGCGAAAGCGGCUCACUGGACCGUCUCUGACGCUGAGGUGCGAAAGCUAGGGUAGCGAAC